Molecule: long non-coding RNA, 514 nt
Organism: Girardinichthys multiradiatus
Lineage: Eukaryota; Metazoa; Chordata; Actinopteri; Cyprinodontiformes; Goodeidae
Exons: 2
Source: RefSeq, a predicted model, not a curated record
GAGUAUUUAAGGAGGAGGCUACCAGCAACUCACUGCCAGAGUGUUGCCCUUUGUGGUUACCUGAACCUGACUUUGCCUUCAGCAUCGAACCCAGCCUGGAUUACCGUCUUCUGGAAAGAAACUAUCCAGCUCCAUGAACCAAGACUCAAGCCUACUGUUACCUCAUUGGAUCAAACCAGUUGGCAGUCUCCUGAUUCCUUCGUUCGGUGGAUCUCCUUCUGUGAACCCUGUCCACCCUCCUUCUUCCAUUGCACCAACUACAGAAACUAUUGGACCAUCUAUCGUCCUGGCACACCAGUGUUCACAGUCUCCAGUCCCAUGGGUAAACAACCUUCUGGUCUCUCCACCCUCCUCUGGCGGAUCUCUCCUUCAAAUCAGUGAAACAGAAUUAUCAUUUAAGAACAUAGGUCCAGAGUUUCCCCUUGCUCACCGUUCUGUUUAUUUUACAGUUGGUAUCCCGGUUCCCGUUUCCUGCACAUUUUAACUUCCUGUAAAUAAACUCCUUACCGUUAAA